RNAcentral lists this ribosomal RNA (253 nucleotides) under uncultured bacterium. RNAcentral's name for it is "partial 16S ribosomal RNA". It matches the Rfam family "Bacterial small subunit ribosomal RNA", at positions 524 to 776 of the family's 1533-position model. The record is from RNAcentral.
UACGUAGGCAGCAAGCGUUGUUCGGAGUUACUGGGCGUAAAGGGUGUGUAGGCGGCCUGUUUAGUUCCGUGUGAAAUCUCCCGGCUCAACCGGGAGGGUGCGCGGAACACUGGCGGGCUAGAGUACGGGAUGGGAGAGUAGAAUUCCUGGUGUAGCGGUGAAAUGCGUAGAUAUCAGGAGGAAUACCUGCGGUGUAGACGGCUCUCUGGACCGUAGCUGACGCUGAAACACGAAAGCGUGGGUAGCAAACAGG